ACCUGGGUACAGGUGCAGGGCACAAGGCCAGAGUCAAACUCUUUCAUCUGUGGGACCCCAGGCAAUCUGCUACCCCUCCCCAUCCCUCAGAGCCUGUAACCACCCACCUCAGAGGGCUGGCAAGGAGCGAUGCAAUGUUUGUGGAGUGUUUAACUUGGGCCAACCCCUGGAAGCCAAGAAACCCACUCUUGAAGAGGAAGGCCCCAUCAACGGCUGUGGGUGACACGCACAUGUGGACCUAAAGGACUCAUCUCUCCCAGCAGCGUCACCCCAGAGGCCAAGCUGUCAGCACGUGAGCCUUAGGUGGCGUUCAGCAUCCAGAGAGGGCACAGCUGGGUGACUUCCUGAAGAGACACGGCAGCUGAGAGGCCAUGAGACCACAAACAGAUGACCCCGAGAGACCCAGUCCUGGUCAGUGUUCCUUGCAGCUGUCUUAGGAACCCAAGAAGAGAGUCUGUCUGAGAAAGAAAAGCUGACAUUAAAGCCGUAAAACUGGGUAUGAAUGGGCCGCCGGGAUCACGCUGUGCCUGAAUGACUGUGGCUUUCAGUAUCCCUUGUGAGUUGAGC
Molecule: long non-coding RNA, 567 nt
Filed under: Mus pahari (shrew mouse)
Lineage: Eukaryota; Metazoa; Chordata; Mammalia; Rodentia; Muridae
Description: lncRNA (MGP_PahariEiJ_G0006275.1)
Source: RNAcentral